Long non-coding RNA from Xenopus tropicalis (tropical clawed frog), 637 nucleotides. RefSeq lists it as uncharacterized. The record is from RefSeq and is a predicted model, not a curated record. Lineage: Eukaryota; Metazoa; Chordata; Amphibia; Anura; Pipidae. The transcript is spliced from 4 exons.
UCCUUGCAGUUCCCCUGAAACCUCUGAUAAGAUGCCUUCAUACCAUUUGGAAUUCUGUUUCCAGCAGCUACUCUGUGACCAACUGUAAAUAAUCUCUACCUAAAAAGACAAGGUGAAAAGUUGCAUCUAUUGGCAUAGGGGAACUUUGAAGCUACCGCCACCUCCGGUUUCUACAGCGUCAUCAAUUGCUGCUUCACAAACAUCUUAUCAGAACCAGUGGCUCGCAAGCAACAUGUUGCUCACCAACUCCUUGGUUGCUCCCGGUGCCCUCAAUGCAGCCGCUACUGUUUUUUCACAAGUUGGACAUUUCUGUAAGAAUGGACUAUACCUGAAUAUUGGAAAAUUCGAGAUAUUUUUUCCUGCUUAUAACAUAUGAUUCACGCACAGAGCAUUGAGACUGGAGCUGUUCCAGAGACCAUUCUCUUGGGACCCCUACAAAUCUACCAUCACCUCUGAAUCAUCAUAGAGUGUAACCUAGAACUAAGAGCUCUGUAAUGUUAGUAUCUCAGAUCCCAGAAAACAGCAAAUUCUUUAUAGGCAUCUCAUACAGAACAUCUGUCUUUCCAUUCAGCACAUUCAAUCUGAAAAGUAUUUUAUAAAAUGAUUAAAUCUAAUAAAAAAAUAAAAAAAUAAAUGA